UUAAGCGACUAAGCGUACACGGUGGAUGCCCUGGCAGUCAGAGGCGAUGAAGGGCGUGCUAAUCUGCGAUAAGCGCCGGUAAGGUGAUAUGAACCGUUAUAACCGGCGAUACCCGAAUGGGGAAACCCAGUGUGACUCGUCACACUAUCAUUAACUGAAUCCAUAGGUUAAUGAGGCGAACCGGGGGAACUGAAACAUCUAAGUACCCCGAGGAAAAGAAAUCAACCGAGAUUCCCCCAGUAGCGGCGAGCGAACGGGGAGGAGCCCAGAGCCUGAAUCAGCAUGUGUGUUAGUGGAAGCGUCUGGAAAGGCGCGCGAUACAGGGUGACAGCCCCGUACACAAAAGCGCAUGUGCUGUGAGCUCGAUGAGUAGGGCGGGACACGUGGUAUCCUGUCUGAAUAUGGGGGGACCAUCCUCCAAGGCUAAAUACUCCUGACUGACCGAUAGUGAACCAGUACCGUGAGGGAAAGGCGAAAAGAACCCCGGCGAGGGGAGUGAAAAAGAACCUGAAACCGUGUACGUACAAGCAGUGGGAGCACAGGUUUACCUGUGUGACUGCGUACCUUUUGUAUAAUGGGUCAGCGACUUAUAUUCUGUAGCAAGGUUAACCGAAUAGGGGAGCCGGAGGGAAACCGAGUCUUAACCGGGCGUUAAGUUGCAGGGUAUAGACCCGAAACCCGGUGAUCUAGCCAUGGGCAGGUUGAAGGUUGGGUAACACUAACUGGAGGACCGAACCGACUAAUGUUGAAAAAUUAGCGGAUGACCUGUGGCUGGGGGUGAAAGGCCAAUCAAACCGGGAGAUAGCUGGUUCUCCCCGAAAGCUAUUUAGGUAGCGCCUCGUGAAUUCAUCUCCGGGGGUAGAGCACUGUUUCGGCUAGGGGGCCAUCCCGGCUUACCAACCCGAUGCAAACUGCGAAUACCGGAGAAUGUUAUCACGGGAGACACACGGCGGGUGCUAACGUCCGUCGUGAAGAGGGAAACAACCCAGACCGCCAGCUAAGGUCCCAAAGUCAUGGUUAAGUGGGAAACGAUGUGGGAAGGCCCAGACAGCCAGGAUGUUGGCUUAGAAGCAGCCAUCAUUUAAAGAAAGCGUAAUAGCUCACUGGUCGAGUCGGCCUGCGCGGAAGAUGUAACGGGGCUAAACCAUGCACCGAAGCUGCGGCAGCGACACUGUGUGUUGUUGGGUAGGGGAGCGUUCUGUAAGCCUGUGAAGGUGUGUCGUGAGGCAUGCUGGAGGUAUCAGAAGUGCGAAUGCUGACAUAAGUAACGAUAAAGCGGGUGAAAAGCCCGCUCGCCGGAAGACCAAGGGUUCCUGUCCAACGUUAAUCGGGGCAGGGUGAGUCGACCCCUAAGGCGAGGCCGAAAGGCGUAGUCGAUGGGAAACGGGUUAAUAUUCCCGUACUUGGUGUUACUGCGAAGGGGGGACGGAGAAGGCUAUGUUGGCCGGGCGACGGUUGUCCCGGUUUAAGCGUGUAGGUGUGUGUUCCAGGUAAAUCCGGUUCACUUUAACACUGAGGCGUGACGACGAGGCACUACGGUGCUGAAGCAACAAAUGCCCUGCUUCCAGGAAAAGCCUCUAAGCAUCAGGUAACAUCAAAUCGUACCCCAAACCGACACAGGUGGUCAGGUAGAGAAUACCAAGGCGCUUGAGAGAACUCGGGUGAAGGAACUAGGCAAAAUGGUGCCGUAACUUCGGGAGAAGGCACGCUGACACGUAGGUGAAGUGAUUUACUCAUGGAGCUGAAGUCAGUCGAAGAUACCAGCUGGCUGCAACUGUUUAUUAAAAACACAGCACUGUGCAAACACGAAAGUGGACGUAUACGGUGUGACGCCUGCCCGGUGCCGGAAGGUUAAUUGAUGGGGUCAGCGCAAGCGAAGCUCCUGAUCGAAGCCCCGGUAAACGGCGGCCGUAACUAUAACGGUCCUAAGGUAGCGAAAUUCCUUGUCGGGUAAGUUCCGACCUGCACGAAUGGCGUAAUGAUGGCCAGGCUGUCUCCACCCGAGACUCAGUGAAAUUGAACUCGCUGUGAAGAUGCAGUGUACCCGCGGCAAGACGGAAAGACCCCGUGAACCUUUACUAUAGCUUGACACUGAACAUUGAGCCUUGAUGUGUAGGAUAGGUGGGAGGCUUUGAAGUGUGGACGCCAGUCUGCAUGGAGCCGACCUUGAAAUACCACCCUUUAAUGUUUGAUGUUCUAACGUGGACCCGUUACCCGGGUUGCGGACAGUGUCUGGUGGGUAGUUUGACUGGGGCGGUCUCCUCCUAAAGAGUAACGGAGGAGCACGAAGGUUGGCUAAUCCUGGUCGGACAUCAGGAGGUUAGUGCAAUGGCAUAAGCCAGCUUGACUGCGAGCGUGACGGCGCGAGCAGGUGCGAAAGCAGGUCAUAGUGAUCCGGUGGUUCUGAAUGGAAGGGCCAUCGCUCAACGGAUAAAAGGUACUCCGGGGAUAACAGGCUGAUACCGCCCAAGAGUUCAUAUCGACGGCGGUGUUUGGCACCUCGAUGUCGGCUCAUCACAUCCUGGGGCUGAAGUAGGUCCCAAGGGUAUGGCUGUUCGCCAUUUAAAGUGGUACGCGAGCUGGGUUUAGAACGUCGUGAGACAGUUCGGUCCCUAUCUGCCGUGGGCGCUGGAGAACUGAGGGGGGCUGCUCCUAGUACGAGAGGACCGGAGUGGACGCAUCACUGGUGUUCGGGUUGUCAUGCCAAUGGCACUGCCCGGUAGCUAAAUGCGGAAGAGAUAAGUGCUGAAAGCAUCUAAGCACGAAACUUGCCCCGAGAUGAGUUCUCCCUGAGACUUAGAGUCUCCUGAAGGAACGUUGAAGACGACGACGUUGAUAGGCCGGGUGUGUAAGCGCAGCGAUGCGUUGAGCUAACCGGUACUAAUGAACCGUGAGGCUUAACCUU
This 2905-nucleotide ribosomal RNA is filed under the name Salmonella enterica. RNAcentral's name for it is "23S ribosomal RNA". It matches the Rfam family "Bacterial large subunit ribosomal RNA". The record is from RNAcentral. Lineage: Bacteria; Pseudomonadati; Pseudomonadota; Gammaproteobacteria; Enterobacterales; Enterobacteriaceae.